Numida meleagris (helmeted guineafowl) is the source of this 345-nucleotide long non-coding RNA. RefSeq lists it as uncharacterized. The transcript is spliced from 3 exons. Lineage: Eukaryota; Metazoa; Chordata; Aves; Galliformes; Numididae. The record is from RefSeq and is a predicted model, not a curated record.
CGUCUUGGCAGCACCUCACUCUCCAGCCGUCUUAUCGUCGGUAGUAGAUUUUAUCUUCUAGGAAGAACAGAACUAUGUCACUUAUUUGAAUGAAUCUCCAGCAGCCACAUGAAAGUGAAGAAAUAAAGAGUAACGGCAAAGAAGCGGCAAACAAAUCACAGAAUCUAAGAAUUACUUAGUUAAGAGGAGACCUCCUGAGACUGUCUAUUCCAAUAUGCUUGCUUAAGCAGUAUCAACAAGAAUAUGUUGUUGGCAGGACCGUGCAGGACUGCACAGAUUUUCCAGGCAACCUGUUUGAGUGUCUGACUAUCUUCAUGGUAAAUAAAGGUUUUUUUAUGUGCUCAA